CAACGGUUAGGAUAAUUGCCU
RNAcentral lists this non-coding RNA (21 nucleotides) under Arabidopsis thaliana (thale cress). Lineage: Eukaryota; Viridiplantae; Streptophyta; Magnoliopsida; Brassicales; Brassicaceae. The record is from RNAcentral.